UGACAAGUGGUAUAGGUCUGCGCCCAGGAUCCGAACCUGUGAACCCAGGCUGCUGAAGCAGAGCGCGCUGAGGAACUUUAACGGCUAAGCCAUGGGGCCGGCCCUAGUUCUCCAUUUUUUUGAUGAAGUAAUGGAAGUGCUGGGGCCAGAUGUUGAAUGAUUGGCCAUCAUUUGGGACCCAAACAACACUUCUUGGACAUUUAGGAUGUUUAUGAUUUUUCACAGUGGGAUGUUGCGAGGUUAAGUUCGGAUCAUCAUGUGGCUUGGACAUGGGCUGCUCUUCCUGCCAACUCAAUUCUCACAUAAAACCCUAGGAGGAGAAGGUGGGAUGGAGCAGCCGCCGUGGGAACAGUCUGGCGGCUCCCCAAAAACUUAAGCAGGG
This 382-nucleotide long non-coding RNA is filed under the name Equus caballus (horse). RNAcentral's name for it is "lncRNA (ENSECAG00000051944.1)". Lineage: Eukaryota; Metazoa; Chordata; Mammalia; Perissodactyla; Equidae. The record is from RNAcentral.